UUUGAAUAUUCUUUGCUGUUUAUCUCCUUCGACUGAUCCCCCCCCCCGAGUGGUGUUUUGCGCACCUGAUGCAAAUGUCUCAUCAUCCCCUUUUUGCGCUCCAGCUUUUGGAUACAAAAGGAUUCAAACCCGAGGUGGAAAUGGAUUCUCCGAGACGAGCUGCUGUCAUGGAGAGAAGAAUGAGCUCCAUCACAUGACGGACGACGUGCCGCGGCGGUUCAAAGACUCAUCAGUCAGCCAGUGCAGGGCAGAGGAUGUUCCAACAACAGAAAUCGGUCCAUGCCUAAUCGCUUACACAGCCAACUGCAAGAGGAGAUGCAGAUCACAGCAGUGUGGCAGCUGGGACUCUUCCACAAGAUGAAGUUCAUACAAUAACUAUAGAAAUGAAGAAUAGAAUACAAGAUAAAGUGUCUCCGGAGUUCUUCUGUCUGUGAGUACUACAAAAAGUCCAGCAGUCCCUGUGCUGACAGCCCAGGCCCACACUGAGCCUCCUGCGCGCUAUGGCUCCCCCUAGCCGUGCCUCCAUAUUUCCUUGUUAAUGCACACCAUAAUGCCCUGACCCUCCCUGCUCUAUAACACCAUAAACACAGCAAAAUAUACCUGAAAACCCGACUUUUUAUGUCUAAAUGUGGAGUUUAUAGUCUCCAAAUGCCUUCCAGCCAACAUUGGGCACCACUGGCCCCAGCAACAGAGAGGAUU
This is a long non-coding RNA of Centropristis striata (black sea bass), 699 nucleotides long. RefSeq lists it as uncharacterized. Lineage: Eukaryota; Metazoa; Chordata; Actinopteri; Perciformes; Serranidae. The transcript is spliced from 4 exons. The record is from RefSeq and is a predicted model, not a curated record.